CGGUAAUACAGAGGGGGCGAGCGUUAUUCGGAAUUAUUGGGCGUAAAGGGCGCGUAGGCGGCUUGGCAAGUCAAAGGUGAAAUCCCUCGGCUCAACCGAGGAACUGCCUUUGAAACUGCCGGGCUCGAGGCCGGGAGAGGGUAGUGGAAUUCCCAGUGUAGCGGUGAAAUGCGUAGAUAUUGGGAGGAACACCGGUGGCGAAGGCGGCUACCUGGACCGGUUCUGACGCUGAGGCGCGAAAGCGUGGGGAGCAAACAGGAUUAGAUACCCUGGUAGUCCACGCUGUAAACGAUGGGUACUCGGUGUCGCGGGUAUCGACCCCUGCGGUGCCUUAGCUAACGCGUUAA
RNAcentral lists this ribosomal RNA (347 nucleotides) under uncultured Pelobacter sp. RNAcentral's name for it is "bacterial SSU rRNA". It matches the Rfam family "Bacterial small subunit ribosomal RNA", at positions 518 to 863 of the family's 1533-position model. Lineage: Bacteria; Pseudomonadati; Thermodesulfobacteriota; Desulfuromonadia; Desulfuromonadales; Desulfuromonadaceae. The record is from RNAcentral.